This 405-nucleotide ribosomal RNA is filed under the name uncultured bacterium. RNAcentral's name for it is "partial 16S ribosomal RNA". It matches the Rfam family "Bacterial small subunit ribosomal RNA", at positions 28 to 526 of the family's 1533-position model. The record is from RNAcentral.
GACGAACGCUGGCGGCGUGCCUAAUACAUGCAAGUAGAACAGUUGCGAACGGGUGAGUAACGCGUCGGUACCUGCCUCAUAGCGGGGGGUAACUAUUGGAAAAGAUAGCCAAUACCGCAUACUGUGAGAUGGACCUGCGUUGUAUUAGCUAGUUGGUGAGAUAAAGGCUCACCAAGGAGACGAGACAUAGCCGACCUGAGAGGGGCAUCGGCCACACUGGGACUGGGGCACGGCUCAGACUCACACGGGAGGCAGCAGUAGGGAAUCUUUGGUAAUGGACGGAAGUCGGACCGAGCAACGCCGCGUUGGUGAAGAGGGUUUUCGGAUCGUAAAGCUCUGUUGUUAGAGAAGCGUUAACGAACCAGAAAGGGACGGCUAACUACGUGCCAGCAGCCGCGGUAAUAC